Molecule: ribosomal RNA, 253 nt
Filed under: uncultured bacterium
Lineage: Bacteria
Description: partial 16S ribosomal RNA
Rfam family: Bacterial small subunit ribosomal RNA
Source: RNAcentral
UACGUAUGGUGCAAGCGUUAUCCGGAUUUACUGGGUGUAAAGGGGGCGCAGACGGCGAUGCAAGCCAGGAGUGAAAGCCCGGGGCCCAACCCCGGGACUGCUCUUGGAACUGCGUGGCUGGAGUGCAGGGGGGGCAGGCGGAAUUCCUGGUGUAGCGGUGAAAUGCGUAGACAUCAGGAGGAACACCGGUGGCGAAGGCGGCCUGCUGGACUGCAACUGACGUUGAGGCCCGAAAGCGUGGGGAGCAAACAGG